AUUUAGAUGCCAGAGCCCCUGCACAAAGACAAUUAAACCCCCUUCUCAUUAAGGAGAGGUAAAGUGGUGAGGAAUUGAGCUCCUGUCAGGACAGCACCAAUGUGGGUACUGCACACUCCAGUCAGGGACACAGUCUGUCAACCACACACUGAUGCUUUUGUCUGGCCUUUGUCCUUUAGGAAUUGUGGGUGAUUGGAAAAACCACUUUACUGUGGCCCAGAAUGAGAGGUUUGAUGAUAUCUAUAAGCAAAAGAUGGACAGAACCUCUCUAAACUUCUGCAUGGAACUCUGAUCAAGAUGAGAAGAUAGACAUCAAGGACAGGAGUCUGUCUGCAAGCCUCAAUCCAGCCAAAGGAAGAUCGGAAAGCAAACUGUAAAUGCCAAGGACUGUGACACCGACUCUGUUAUUACUGACAUCACAUUACAAUUCACAAAAUCAGAUUAUGUCCAGUGUAUACUUUCUCCACUAUUCAGUACAAAUCAGUAAGACAGCUUAAUAAGCUAAUAAAUAAACAAACUUGAAUAGU
RNAcentral lists this long non-coding RNA (527 nucleotides) under Rattus norvegicus (Norway rat). Its description in RNAcentral is "long non-coding RNA NONRATT029769". The record is from RNAcentral. Lineage: Eukaryota; Metazoa; Chordata; Mammalia; Rodentia; Muridae.